Molecule: non-coding RNA, 21 nt
Filed under: Mus musculus (house mouse)
Lineage: Eukaryota; Metazoa; Chordata; Mammalia; Rodentia; Muridae
Also listed under: 1 other name
Source: RNAcentral
UUUAGCCAGUUGAAUGUGAUG